Podospora australis is the source of this 99-nucleotide non-coding RNA. The record is from the annotation of a GenBank genome assembly. Lineage: Eukaryota; Fungi; Ascomycota; Sordariomycetes; Sordariales; Podosporaceae.
GGCAAGAUGGCCGAGCGGUCUAAGGCGCUAGCUUCAGGUCAUUAUCAAUGACUUUCAUGCUAGUCCGAAAGGGCGUGGGUUCGAAUCCCACUCUUGUCA